This 1383-nucleotide ribosomal RNA is filed under the name uncultured bacterium. RNAcentral's name for it is "bacterial SSU rRNA". It matches the Rfam family "Bacterial small subunit ribosomal RNA", at positions 20 to 1398 of the family's 1533-position model. The record is from RNAcentral.
UGGCUCAGGAUGAACGCUAGCUACAGGCUUAACACAUGCAAGUCGAGGGGCAGCAUGGUCUUAGCUUGCUAAGGCCGAUGGCGACCGGCGCACGGGUGAGUAACACGUAUCCAACCUGCCGUCUACUCUUGGACAGCCUUCUGAAAGGAAGAUUAAUACAAGAUGGCAUCAUGAGUCCGCAUGUUCACAUGAUUAAAGGUAUUCCGGUAGACGAUGGGGAUGCGUUCCAUUAGAUAGUAGGCGGGGUAACGGCCCACCUAGUCUUCGAUGGAUAGGGGUUCUGAGAGGAAGGUCCCCCACAUUGGAACUGAGACACGGUCCAAACUCCUACGGGAGGCAGCAGUGAGGAAUAUUGGUCAAUGGGCGCAGGCCUGGACCAGCCAAGUAGCGUGAAGGAUGACUGCCCUAUGGGUUGUAAACUUCUUUUAUAUGGGAAUAAAGUUUUCCACGUGUGGAAUUUUGUAUGUACCAUAUGAAUAAGGAUCGGCUAACUCCGUGCCAGCAGCCGCGGUAAUACGGAGGAUCCGAGCGUUAUCCGGAUUUAUUGGGUUUAAAGGGAGCGUAGGUGGACAGUUAAGUCAGUUGUGAAAGUUUGCGGCUCAACCGUAAAAUUGCAGUUGAUACUGGCUGUCUUGAGUACAGUAGAGGUGGGCGGAAUUCGUGGUGUAGCGGUGAAAUGCUUAGAUAUCACGAAGAACUCCGAUUGCGAAGGCAGCUCACUGGACUGCAACUGACACUGAUGCUCGAAAGUGUGGGUAUCAAACAGGAUUAGAUACCCUGGUAGUCCACACAGUAAACGAUGAAUACUCGCUGUUUGCGAUAUACAGUAAGCGGCCAAGCGAAAGCAUUAAGUAUUCCACCUGGGGAGUACGCCGGCAACGGUGAAACUCAAAGGAAUUGACGGGGGCCCGCACAAGCGGAGGAACAUGUGGUUUAAUUCGAUGAUACGCGAGGAACCUUACCCGGGCUUAAAUUGCAUUUGAAUGUUGGGGAAACCCAACAGCCGCAAGGCAAAUGUGAAGGUGCUGCAUGGUUGUCGUCAGCUCGUGCCGUGAGGUGUCGGCUUAAGUGCCAUAACGAGCGCAACCCUUAUCUUUAGUUACUAACAGGUCAUGCUGAGGACUCUAGAGAGACUGCCGUCGUAAGAUGUGAGGAAGGUGGGGAUGACGUCAAAUCAGCACGGCCCUUACGUCCGGGGCUACACACGUGUUACAAUGGGGGGUACAGAAGGCAGCUACCUGGUGACAGGAUGCUAAUCCCAAAAGCCUCUCUCAGUUCGGAUCGAAGUCUGCAACCCGACUUCGUGAAGCUGGAUUCGCUAGUAAUCGCGCAUCAGCCACGGCGCGGUGAAUACGUUCCCGGGCCUUGCACUCACCGCCCGUA